CUAAGAAUAUUCCGCAAUGGACGGAAGUCUGACGGAGCGACGCCGCGUGGAUGACGAAGGCCGAAAGGUUGUAAAGUUCUUUUGCUGGGGAAGAAUAACCGCAGGAGGGAAUGCCUGUGGGAUGACAAGAACCGGCGAAUAAGCCCCGGCCAACUACGUGCCAGCAGCCGCGGUAACACGUAGGGGGCGAGCGUUGUUCGGAAUUACUGGGCGUAAAGGGCAUGUAGGCGGCUUGGAAAGCCUGGCGUGAAAGUCUGCAGCUUAACUGCAGGGGUGCGCUGGGAACUGCUGAGCUUGAGUGACGGAGAGGGAGCUGGAAUUCCUGGUGUAGGGGUGAAAUCUGUAGAUAUCAGGAAGAACACCGAUGGCGAAGGCAAGCUCCUGGCCGAUGACUGACGCUGAGGUGCGAAAGUGUGGGGAUCAAACAGGAUUAGAUACCCUGGUAGUCCACACAGUCAACGAUGUGCACUAGGUGCUGGGGCGGUAGCUUCGGUGCCGGAGCGAACGUGGUAAGUGCACCGCCUGGGGAGUAUGCUCGCAAGGGUGAAACUCAAAUGAAUUGAC
This 564-nucleotide ribosomal RNA is filed under the name uncultured bacterium. RNAcentral describes it as "partial 16S ribosomal RNA". It matches the Rfam family "Bacterial small subunit ribosomal RNA", at positions 355 to 914 of the family's 1533-position model. The record is from RNAcentral.